Long non-coding RNA from Alligator mississippiensis (American alligator), 1462 nucleotides. RefSeq lists it as uncharacterized. The record is from RefSeq and is a predicted model, not a curated record. The transcript is spliced from 3 exons. Lineage: Eukaryota; Metazoa; Chordata; Crocodylia; Alligatoridae.
AGCAGCAAGAGCAGGAGGACUCUGUCUCUGCAAGGUGAUUAGCCUGGGAGUAGCUAGGACUGAGCUUGAGGAUGUGUCACUCUGCCUGUAUUUCUGCUCUAAGUGCAUCCCAGCAAGGGCUGAGCUGGAGCCCCAGAUGCUGCUACAACGAGCUGCAAACAUUGAGGGCCCAGCCAGCCACAGGAGAUGCAGCCUUUCAUCUCCGGAGUUACAGGUGACAAGGAAGAACUGCAGCAGGUCAGCGAAGCCUAAAAGAAGGCAGCCCACAUCUGCCAGUUUCUGCUACCAGGACCAGCCCUGAACAUGAGCUAGGUGGGCGCUACAGCCCCCUGCGGCUUCACUUGGGGUGCGCCAGUCCCAUGCAAGCUGCUAUUCACAGGGCAGCUUCAUCUUCCUAGGAGGAAAAGGAAGAAGCCUGCAGCAGACACCCCCGCAGGCAAUCGGAGCAGAAUCCCCUCCAGCAGACUGGACCUUACAAAGCUCAGGGCUGGUCCAAGUUUACAGUAACACUGCGCAAGUGAGCAGUACCGACCUACAAACAGCAAGUGACUAGAAGAGAAAGUUCUGAGUAACUGAAAAGGGAGGAGCAGGGAGGUUGAAUGGAAGCAGGAUUUCUGCAUCAAAUCAAUGGAUUCAACAUGACUUCUCCGCUGAUGGACUUCCCUGCCCAUAUCCCAGGUGCCUGCCAGAGCAGAGGAUCCCUGGACUCAGCAUUCCCAAUACUGCACAGGACUCAGGCAUGAGCGCUGGCUCUGGAAGAGAAACUGAAAGAUUUAAUCAGAGGUAAGGGCAGGCUCUGCUGGCUCCAGACAAAGGAAAUAGCUGAAAACAACCAAAGAGUGAGUGAGCAGGACUGAUGCCUGACGCAUGACAAUGGCUCCGGGAAUCCUUGAAUGCUGCGAUUCAAAGAUGUCCUGAAUGGAAGACUUGUGCUGAGCUGGAAAAGGCAAAACAAGAGGCCUGGUUUUCAAAGGAGCGGAAAGAACCUCAGGAUUCUGCCCCUCGCUCACAUUUGCCUCUCCUGCAAGCAUGCACCAGGAACCACCUGGGCGAAGGGCCGAGGGCUUUGGUCGGCCGUUUGCACAUGCUGUUACCCUACAGUGCACACAGCUGUCGAAGUCGUGUGCUGUGGCUGGGUACAACGCUGCGCAUGCAUUAGGGGGCCAGGUCUAAGCUUCUGUCCUUUGGAAAAGACCUUCUUCAUGGCAGCAAAAGGCAGUAUUUGCACACUGACUCUCCCAUCGCUGUCGUAGCUGGCGGGGAGCCCAACCACAACAGCAUGAGAACGGGGAAGUGAAAGUGAACAGGUACGCAGCAGGAGGUGAAACUGUCCUGUUCAGCUUCACUGCCCGGGGGGACUGAAAUGCAGAGAACAGAAACACCAUCGAUGGAGAACAGGGAGAUUUUAAGAGGAUUUCUGCUUCAAUAAUCUCCGUUGUUAUUAAGAUCAUGGGGGAUGUUA